RNAcentral lists this long non-coding RNA (281 nucleotides) under Apteryx rowi (Okarito brown kiwi). RNAcentral's name for it is "lncRNA (ENSARWG00000012442.1)". The record is from RNAcentral. Lineage: Eukaryota; Metazoa; Chordata; Aves; Apterygiformes; Apterygidae.
UAUCCUUCUGCGUCCCUUUGUGGCUGGGCUUUGGUUCUGCAAUGCUGAAUCGUCUCCCUGCUCCCCGGCAGUUCUGCCAGCAGCAACCUGCCGGACACAGUGGUUGCCAGAGCUGCUGUUGGUGGUGUUACAAGAUGGGGGUUGAAGGAGAUCGCCGUCACGCAGGAGGCAAUUCUCCCUGCUGUAGAGACGCCUGCCCGGGAGCUGCGGUGCUCUACAUCACGGUGGGAACAGGCAAGGCUGUGAUCUCAUGGUGUCUUUGGGAGAAUAAAACCAGAUAA